This 437-nucleotide ribosomal RNA is filed under the name uncultured bacterium. Its description in RNAcentral is "partial 16S ribosomal RNA". It matches the Rfam family "Bacterial small subunit ribosomal RNA", at positions 29 to 507 of the family's 1533-position model. The record is from RNAcentral.
AGCGAACGCUGGCGGCAGGCUUAACACAUGCAAGUCGAGCGGGCAUCCUUGUGGUGUCAGCGGCAGACGGGUGAGUAACGCGUGGGAACGUGCCCUUCGGUUCGGAAUAACUCAGGGAAACUUGAGCUAAUACCGGACACGUGCGAGAGCAGAAAGGUUUAUCUGCCGAAGGAUCGGCCCGCGUCUGAUUAGCUAGUUGGUGAGGUUAUGGCUCACCAAGGCGACGAUCAGUAGCUGGUCUGAGAGGAUGAUCAGCCACACUGGGACUGAGACACGGCCCAGGCUCCUACGGGAGGCAGCAGUGGGGAAUAUUGGACAAUGGGGGCAACCCUGAUCCAGCCAUGCCGCGUGAGUGAUGACGGCCUUAGGGUUGUAAAGCUCUUUUCUUCGGGACGAUAAUGACGGUACCGGAGGAAUAAGCCCCGGCUAACUUCGUG